GGUUGUAGCUCAGUGGUAGAGCACUUGCCUAGCAUGCAUGAAGCCCUGAGUUCAUUCCUCAGCAUCA
Molecule: transfer RNA, 67 nt
Filed under: Marmota monax (woodchuck)
Lineage: Eukaryota; Metazoa; Chordata; Mammalia; Rodentia; Sciuridae
Description: tRNA.Ala
Rfam family: tRNA
About the family: Transfer RNA (tRNA) molecules are approximately 80 nucleotides in length. Their secondary structure includes four short double-helical elements and three loops (D, anti-codon, and T loops).
Source: RNAcentral